UGCGUAGGCGGCUUUUUAAGUCGGAUGUGAAAUCCCCGAGCUUAACUUGGGAAUUGCAUUCGAUACUGGUUGGCUAGAGUGUGGGAGAGGAUGGUAGAAUUCCAGGUGUAGCGGUGAAAUGCGUAGAGAUCUGGAGGAAUACCGAUGGCGAAGGCAGCCAUCUGGCCUAACACUGACGCUGAGGUGCGAAAGCAUGGGGAGCAAACAGGAUUAGAUACCCUGGUA
This 225-nucleotide ribosomal RNA is filed under the name uncultured Acinetobacter sp. Its description in RNAcentral is "partial 16S ribosomal RNA". It matches the Rfam family "Bacterial small subunit ribosomal RNA", at positions 568 to 792 of the family's 1533-position model. The record is from RNAcentral. Lineage: Bacteria; Pseudomonadati; Pseudomonadota; Gammaproteobacteria; Moraxellales; Moraxellaceae.